Molecule: ribosomal RNA, 252 nt
Filed under: uncultured bacterium
Lineage: Bacteria
Description: partial 16S ribosomal RNA
Rfam family: Bacterial small subunit ribosomal RNA
Source: RNAcentral
UACGUAGGUCCCGAGCGUUGUCCGGAUUUAUUGGGCGUAAAGCGAGCGCAGGUGGUUUAUUAAGUCUGGUGUAAAAGGCAGUGGCUCAACCAUUGUAUGCAUUGGAAACUGGUAGACUUGAGUGCAGGAGAGGAGAGUGGAAUUCCAUGUGUAGCGGUGAAAUGCGUAGAUAUAUGGAGGAACACCGGUGGCGAAAGCGGCUUACUGGACUGUAACUGACGUUGAGGCUCGAAAGCGUGGGGAGCAAACAGG